CUAAAACCUACACUAAGUAUUUGAUAGUGAUCGGGGUUUGAUCUAGGGAAGACAAAUGAUGUAGGCAACGAUAUCUUUAGAAUACAACGAUGUUGAACAGUUUCCAGUAGGUAAAAAUGGACUUUAUUUAUGAAUAAGAUCGAAUACAAUGAGUUGAACUAGACCGAGUAAUACAAACGAGAUCUGUAAAGAAAAAAUCUAAGAUUGGGAUGACAACAAGGUCAAUGUAAAUAUGGAUGUUUAAACAGGCCAGAAGCCCGCGGGCUUGACGGGCGGUGUUUAAACGGAUAGAACCCGUACCUGUUUAUUUGUAUGUAAAGACUUAACGGGUUCACAUAGGGUCGGCCCAUUAAAUGGGGUUUAUUAAAUGGGUUUACCCGCGAACAAAAGGGUGCACAUUUAUUUAUUUUUUCUUUUCAGAAUAUGUGAAACGACGUCAUAUUAACUUAGGUUUUUUCUUGAUCUCAAAAAUUAGAAUCUCUCUGCCGUAAUUUUUUUCUCUGUCGAUGUAGCUGAGAAACAUGACAUGAUCGAAAUUGAGAAACAACAAUCUUGUAGGUCUCUUCGUUUUCUUCACUAAGAGAAGGCUGCUUUGGUUCAAGGGUUCGGUUUUACUGUGAACUUGUGAGCGUCUGUGCUGUGAGCAGUGAGCCUGUGAGCGUCUGUGCUGUGAGCCUGUGAGCGUCCUCAAUCCUAUUACUUCAAGUCUUCAAGUGAGUUGUUUGAUUUCCUGCAAUGUGUAGUUAGUCUUCAAGUCGUCAAGUUCAUUUUCAGAUAACAAGAUGGAGAAAGGGGUUGGUUUGAGAUUAAAGGAGGAGGAUGAAGUUGGUUUCUAUCUUGUUUUUCUAUGGUUCAGUUUUUUUUAUGAAGUAAACUUUAUGUAUUUUCAGAUUCUCUAUGGUGUAGUCUUUCACUUUCUAAGUUUCAGAUUUUAUGUAUUUGAAGAUUCUCUAUGGUGUAGUCUUGGUGUUUGCUUCUUUACAUGAACUAUAUUCUCUUA
Brassica napus (rape) is the source of this 1000-nucleotide long non-coding RNA. RefSeq lists it as uncharacterized. The transcript has 2 exons. The record is from RefSeq and is a predicted model, not a curated record. NCBI's taxonomy places the organism in Eukaryota, Viridiplantae, Streptophyta, Magnoliopsida, Brassicales, Brassicaceae.